GACGAACGCCGGCGGCGUGCCUAACACAUGCAAGUCGAACGGGGCUCUUUGGAUCGAGACUCCGGUCAAGUGAAUCUGAGCUUAGUGGCGGACGGGUGAGUAACGCGUGAGCAACCUGCCUUUCAGAGGGGGACAACAGUUGGAAACGACUGCUAAUACCGCAUAACGUGUCGAGGAGGCAUCUCCUUGACACCAAAGAUUUAUCGCUGAAAGAUGGCCUCGCGUCUGAUUAGAUAGUUGGUAGGGUAACGGCCUACCAAGUCAACGAUCAGUAGCCGGUCUGAGAGGAUGAACGGCCACAUUGGGACUGAGAUACGGCCCAG
RNAcentral lists this ribosomal RNA (323 nucleotides) under uncultured bacterium. Its description in RNAcentral is "bacterial SSU rRNA". It matches the Rfam family "Bacterial small subunit ribosomal RNA", at positions 28 to 334 of the family's 1533-position model. The record is from RNAcentral.